This 1283-nucleotide ribosomal RNA is filed under the name uncultured bacterium. RNAcentral describes it as "bacterial SSU rRNA". It matches the Rfam family "Bacterial small subunit ribosomal RNA", at positions 63 to 1354 of the family's 1533-position model. The record is from RNAcentral.
CGAGCGAGAAGCCACCGACGGAAGUUUCGGCGGAAGACGAUGGCGGAAAGCGGCGGACGGGUGAGUAACGCGUAGGCAACCUGCCCCUCGCUGGGGGACAGCCUCGGGAAACCGGGAUUAAGACCCCAUGAAGCCUUUGGAGCGCAUGCUCGAGGGGCCAAAGGGAACGGCGAGGGAUGGGCCUGCGUCCGAUUAGUUAGUUGGCGGGGUGACGGCCCACCAAGGCGACGAUCGGUAGCCGACCUGAGAGGGUGAACGGCCACAUUGGAACUGAGACACGGUCCAAACUCCUACGGGAGGCAGCAGUGGGGAAUCUUGCACAAUGGGCGAAAGCCUGAUGCAGCGACGCCGCGUGGGCGAAGAAGGCCUUUGGGCCGUAAAGCCCUGUCGGGAGGGAAGAAGGAAGCGACGGUACCUCCCAAGGAAGCCCCGGCUAACUACGUGCCAGCAGCCGCGGUAACACGUAGGGGGCGAGCGUUAUCCGGAAUCAUUGGGCGUAAAGGGUGCGUAGGCGGCCUUUUAAGCGCGGGGUCUAAGGCGGUGGCCCAACCACCGUUCGCCCCGCGAACUGGAGGGCUAGAGUGUCGGNCAGAGCAGAUGAAUUCCUAGUGUAGCGGUGAAAUGCGUAGCUUUUAGGAAAAACACCAGUGGCGAAGGCGGCUUCCUGGACGAAGACUGACGCUGAGGCACAAAAGCGGGGGGCCUUUAAGGGNNNNNNNCNNNNNNNNNNCNNAANNNAANGACCUUUAAAGGGUUGUCGGGGCCGCAAGGCUUCGGUGCCGGAGUCAACGCAUUAAGUGCUCCGCCUGGGGAGUACGCGGGCAAGCGUGAAACUCAAAGGAAUUGACGGGGACCCGCACAAGCAGCGGAGCAUGUGGUUUAAUUCGAAGCGACGCGAAGAACCUUACCAGGGCUUGACAUCCCCCUGACAGCUUCUUAAUCGAAGUUUUCCACGGACAGGGGAGACAGGUGGUGCAUGGUUGUCGUCAGCUCGUGUCGUGAGAUGUUGGAUUAAGUCCCGCAACGAGCGCAACCCUCGUCGUCAGUUGCUAACAUUGAGUUGAGGACUCUGACGAGACCGCCGUGGACAACACGGAGGAAGGCGGGGACGACGUCAAAUCAUCAUGCCCCUCAUGCCCUGGGCCACACACGUGCUACAAUGGCCGGAACAAAGAGAAGCGAAGUCGCGAGGCGGAGCGAACCUCGAAAACCGGUCCCAGUUCGGAUCGCGGGCUGCAACUCGCCCGCGUGAAGCCGGAGUUGCUAGUAAUCGCGGAUCAGAA